Molecule: unclassified non-coding RNA, 2119 nt
Filed under: Acromyrmex echinatior (Panamanian leafcutter ant)
Lineage: Eukaryota; Metazoa; Arthropoda; Insecta; Hymenoptera; Formicidae
Description: synaptic vesicle 2-related protein, transcript variant X3
Source: RNAcentral
GAUAAAGUUUGUUUGCCUCUAUUUGAGAGCUUGCAGAUUUCGUGUUUUAUAUUUUACUCAUUUUUACUUCAAUUUAUUUAAUUUUUCUUAAAUCGUAAAUUAAACAAAUUUAUCGUUAAAAAGUGGUACGAUAGUUACAAAUUAAACUGUACGACGGAAAGGUUAACCAACAAAGCAGUUGACAUUUUUGUGUGAUGACGCGUGCUGCAUACAAAAUUUGAUGUUGGGAGUUGUAUUUAUAUAUGCAAAGUUUAAUAGAUUCAAUAAACAUUUUCAGAGCUGAUUCCAAUUUGCUCAUUUUCGUCAGUGACUAAUAAUAACGAAUAUUUGGGAAUAUAUCUAUGUUGUGAUCACAUUGAAAAAAGAGUAUAACCAUGUCGGAACCAGAUAAAAAAUCUAAUGAACCAUAUCGUCAAUUAGAAGAAUCACAUGGUGCCGAGUUAAAUGUUGGCGUACAAAAUACAUCGAGUUGUCCUACGAGCUUGAAUGCUAUUGAAGGGUCGAUGGAACUUUCCUCUGUUGUGGUUAUACCUGAUGAUACUUUUACUGUGGUACAAGCUAUCAAUGCAUUAGGCUUUGGAAAAUUCCAAGUAAAAUUGUCUCUAUUCACGGGUCUUUGUUGGAUGGUAGAUAGUAUGGAGAUCACAAUACUGAGUAUUCUAAGUCCAUCCUUACAUUGUGAUUGGGGUAUUUCUAGAUACCAGCAAGCACUGACCACAACGGUAGUAUUUCUUGGUAUGAUGUUAAGCUCUACUUUUUGGAAUAAUUUAAGCGACAGAUAUGGUCGUAAGCAAGCUUUAACUUUGUGUGCGGUAUUAUUGGCCUAUUAUGCAUUUCUAAGUUCUUUGGCACCAAAUUUUCUCUGGAUCCUAUUGCUUAGAGGAGUUGUAGGAUUUGCUAUUGGUUGUGUACCACAAUCGGUAACAUUGUAUGCAGAGUUUUUGCCAGCAAAACAACGAGCAAGAUGUGUUAUUUUACUGGAUUGUUUUUGGGCUCUUGGAGCUUGUUUCGAAGUGGCGAUUGCAUUAAUCGUUAUGCCCAAUUUUGGUUGGAGAUGGCUUCUUAUAUUAUCGUCCAUUCCAUUAUUUAUAUUUGCUGUAAUAACACCGUGGCUGCCAGAAUCUACAGUAUUUGAUAUGACAACUGGAAAAACAGAUCGUGCAAUUUCAACAUUAGAACGUGUAGCUAGAGAAAAUAAAAAAUCAUUGCCUGUAGGAAGACUAGUUAUGGAUAGAUUUUAUCAAGGUCAUCAUGGUCGAUUUAAAGAUGUUCUGAGUAAAGAAAUGUACAGAACGUCUGCUUUACUUUGGCUUGUAUGGAUGAGUACAGCAUUCUGCUACUAUGGAGUGGUAUUAAUGACAACUGAACUUUUUCACACAUCCUCAGAGCAAUGUAGCACAUGGAGUACGAGCAACAAUGAAGGUACAUGCCAACUUGACUGCCGAUUGCGGCGUAGUGACUACAUCGAUCUACUUUGGACAACAUUGGCGGAAUUUCCUGGCAUAUUUUCUACUGUUUUCGCGAUCGAGAAAAUAGGCAGACGAAAGACAAUGGCUUGCCAGUUAGUCAUGUUCGCCAUAGUAGUUUGCUUUUUAAGCAGAACCUGUUUGUUGAGUAGAGCAGUGUUGACCAUUGCCAUUUUCCUAGCCAGAGGCUUAAUUGCCGGUGUGUUUCAAGCUGCGUACGUAUACACGCCAGAAGUAUACCCUACACAUUUACGAAGUAUAGGUGUAAGUGCGUGUAGCGCUAUGGCACGAAUCGGUGCUAUGAUCACUCCAUACAUAGCACAAGUAUUUUUACAAUGGUCCAUCACGGGAACCAUGAUCACUUAUGCGACAACCGCUUUGUGUGCUGCAAUUGCUACGCUUAUACUUCCCGUGGAGACCAAGAAUCAACAAUCAAAUGACGCAAGUCACGAAAAUAGAUAGACAUUUCUGUAACGAAGUAUCUUAAUAUUGACCGAAAGUUACUACUUUGUUGCAUUAUUUAAGAUUACACAAUAUACAAACAUAAAGACUGACAUAUAUGCGACUUUCAAGUAAAGUGCCAAAACAAAUAUUAAUCAUGAAUGCUCUAAAUUUCGUCAUAUCCACAACUUUGAAUCUAUUUUUAAAGAUAA